This 490-nucleotide ribosomal RNA is filed under the name Salmonella enterica. RNAcentral's name for it is "bacterial SSU rRNA". It matches the Rfam family "Bacterial small subunit ribosomal RNA", at positions 1 to 480 of the family's 1533-position model. RNAcentral also lists the same sequence under 1 other name. The record is from RNAcentral. Lineage: Bacteria; Pseudomonadati; Pseudomonadota; Gammaproteobacteria; Enterobacterales; Enterobacteriaceae.
AAAUUGAAGAGUUUGAUCAUGGCUCAGAUUGAACGCUGGCGGCAGGCCUAACACAUGCAAGUCGAACGGUAACAGGAAGCAGCUUGCUGCUUUGCUGACGAGUGGCGGACGGGUGAGUAAUGUCUGGGAAACUGCCUGAUGGAGGGGGAUAACUACUGGAAACGGUGGCUAAUACCGCAUAACGUCGCAAGACCAAAGAGGGGGACCUUCGGGCCUCUUGCCAUCAGAUGUGCCCAGAUGGGAUUAGCUGGUUGGUGAGGUAACGGCUCACCAAGGCGACGAUCCCUAGCUGGUCUGAGAGGAUGACCAGCCACACUGGAACUGAGACACGGUCCAGACUCCUACGGGAGGCAGCAGUGGGGAAUAUUGCACAAUGGGCGCAAGCCUGAUGCAGCCAUGCCGCGUGUAUGAAGAAGGCCUUCGGGUUGUAAAGUACUUUCAGCGGGGAGGAAGGUGUUGUGGUUAAUAACCGCAGCAAUUGACGUUACCC